UUCCAUCUGGAAGAAUCUGGAGACAGGUGCUGCAUGGCUGUCGUCAGCUCGUGUCGUGAGGUGUCGGGUUAAGUCCCAUAACGAGCGCAACCCCUACCUUUAGUUGCCAUCAGGUUAAGCUGGGGACUCUAAAGGAACUGCCUACGCAAGUAGUGAGGAAGGCGGGGAUGACGUCAAAUCAGCACGGCCCUUACGUCCAGGGCUACACACGUGCUACAAUGGCCGAUACAGAGGGCAGCUACCUGGUGACAGGAUGCAAAUCUCCAAAGUCGGUCUCAGUUCGGAUCGGAGUCUGCAACCCGACUCCGUGAAGUUAGAUUCGCUAGUAAUCGCGCAUCAGCCAUGGCGCGGUGAAUACGUUCCCGGGCCUU
This 371-nucleotide ribosomal RNA is filed under the name uncultured Sphingobacteriales bacterium. RNAcentral describes it as "bacterial SSU rRNA". It matches the Rfam family "Bacterial small subunit ribosomal RNA", at positions 1014 to 1382 of the family's 1533-position model. The record is from RNAcentral. Lineage: Bacteria; Pseudomonadati; Bacteroidota; Sphingobacteriia; Sphingobacteriales.